AGUUAUAUCACCCUGAAAGUGCCUGAUUUCGUCUGAUCUCAGAAGCUAAGCAGGGUUGGGUCUGGUCUGUACUUGGAUGGUAAACAUUUAAGCAUUUCAAUAAAUUC
Molecule: ribosomal RNA, 107 nt
Filed under: Octodon degus (degu)
Lineage: Eukaryota; Metazoa; Chordata; Mammalia; Rodentia; Octodontidae
Source: RNAcentral